GGCGGCGUGGAUAAGACAUGCAAGUCGAACGAGAGAAUUGCUAGCUUGCUAAUAAUUCUCUAGUGGCGCACGGGUGAGUAACACGUGAGUAACCUGCCCCCGAGAGCGGGAUAGCCCUGGGAAACUGGGAUUAAUACCGCAUAGUAUCGAAAGAUUAAAGCAGCAAUGCGCUUGGGGAUGGGCUCGCGGCCUAUUAGUUAGUUGGUGAGGUAACGGCUCACCAAGGCGAUGACGGGUAGCCGGUCUGAGAGGAUGUCCGGCCACACUGGAACUGAGACACGGUCCAGACACCUACGGGUGGCAGCAGUCGAGAAUCAUUCACAAUGGGGGAAACCCUGAUGGUGCGACGCCGCGUGGGGGAAUGAAGGUCUUCGGAUUGUAAACCCCUGUCAUGUGGGAGCAAAUUAAAAAGAUAGUACCACAAGAGGAAGAGACGGCUAACUCUGUGCCAGCAGCCGCGGUAAUACAGAGGUCUCAAGCGUUGUUCGGAAUCACUGGGCGUAAAGCGUGCGUAGGCUGUUUCGUAAGUCGUGUGUGAAAGGCGCGGGCUCAACCCGCGGACGGCACAUGAUACUGCGAGACUAGAGUAAUGGAGGGGGAACCGGAAUUCUCGGUGUAGCAGUGAAAUGCGUAGAUAUCGAGAGGAACACUCGUGGCGAAGGCGGGUUCCUGGACAUUAACUGACGCUGAGGCACGAAGGCCAGGGGAGCGAAAGGGAUUAGAUACCCCUGUAGUCCUGGCAGUAAACGGUGCACGCUUGGUGUGCGGGGAAUCGACCCCCUGCGUGCCGGAGCUAACGCGUUAAGCGUGCCGCCUGGGGAGUACGGUCGCAAGAUUAAAACUCAAAGAAAUUGACGGGGACCCGCACAAGCGGUGGAGUAUGUGGCUUAAUUCGAUGCAACGCGAAGAACCUUACCUGGGCUUGACAUGUAAUGAACAACAUGUGAAAGCAUGCGACUCUUCGGAGGCGUUACACAGGUGCUGCAUGGCCGUCGUCAGCUCGUGUCGUGAGAUGUUUGGUUAAGUCCAGCAACGAGCGCAACCCCUGUUGCCAGUUACCAGCACGUGAAGGUGGGGACUCUGGCGAGACUGCCCAGAUCAACUGGGAGGAAGGUGGGGACGACGUCAGGUCAGUAUGGCCCUUAUGCCCAGGGCUGCACACGUACUACAAUGCCCAGUACAGAGGGGGCCGAAGCCGCGAGGCGGAGGAAAUCCUGAAAACUGGGCCCAGUUCGGACUGUAGGCUGCAACCCGCCUACACGAAGCCGGAAUCGCUAGUAAUGGCGCAUCAGCUACGGCGCCGUGAAUACGUUCCCGGGUCUUGUACACACCGCCCGUCACAUCAUGGAAGCCGGUCGCACCCGAAGUAUCUGAAGCCAACCGCAAGGAGGCAGGGUCCUAAGGUGAGACUGGUAACUGGGAUGAAA
Molecule: ribosomal RNA, 1427 nt
Filed under: uncultured organism
Description: SSU rRNA
Rfam family: Bacterial small subunit ribosomal RNA
Source: RNAcentral